Long non-coding RNA from Cyprinodon tularosa, 638 nucleotides. RefSeq lists it as uncharacterized. Lineage: Eukaryota; Metazoa; Chordata; Actinopteri; Cyprinodontiformes; Cyprinodontidae. The record is from RefSeq and is a predicted model, not a curated record. The transcript has 2 exons.
CCACUGAGUCCGCCUGACUUUAUCUGUGUGUCUGUCUGGGCAUGCCUCUGGACCCGUCUGAACCUGCCUUCAUGCUCUGAGGAUUCCUGGAAGCCUGGAUCCCCCAGACUGGGAUCGGCUUCCUGCAUGUUCGCCGGGGCUGCAGCACCUGGGAGACUCUGAGCGGCGCACGCCGCGUCUUGUUGGCAGCCCAUCGGCUGGAUCGCACCUCUUUAAAGGAAGAUGGACUGAACUGUUAAACCAGAAUGCCAGUGAUGGGUGGCGCCUCGCCCCCCUGCAGCUGCUGCGGUCCGACUAUCCUCAACAGCCUGCAUUUCUGUUAUGUUAUUUUCUGUCAUUAAAUGUUUUGAAACAGUUUUUAUAACAUCAACUUGAGGUUUCUCUCCGUGAAAAGGGAGUUUUUAUUCUCUACUGUUGCUGCAUGGAUGCUCUGUGAGAGGGAUUGCUGUCAAGUUGAUGAGUUGACCCAAUCAGCAAGUGGUUCCGUUAAAACCUUGAACCAAUCUGAUCUUAUUGAAUUGUCUGUAUUGAGCCUGUAGAUUACAUGUGGUGUGAAUUCCCACCAUAUAAAUCAACUGAAUCGAAUUGAAUAUUUAGAAACCAUAAAUCUAAUUAUAAAUGCCUUUCCUAACCACUCA